Non-coding RNA from Triticum urartu, 134 nucleotides. The record is from Rfam. Lineage: Eukaryota; Viridiplantae; Streptophyta; Magnoliopsida; Poales; Poaceae.
AAAGUACUCCCUCCGUCCCAAAAUUCUUGUCUUAGAUUUUUCUAGAACAGAUGUAUCAAGUCACAUUUUAGUAUUAGAUACAUCCUUAUCUAGACAAAUCUAAGACAAGAAAUUUGGGAUAGAGGGAGUAGUUG